This 89-nucleotide non-coding RNA is filed under the name uncultured Siminovitchia sp. RNAcentral's name for it is "Glycine riboswitch". The stretch from base 7 to 85 matches the Rfam family "Glycine riboswitch aptamer", at positions 9 to 86 of the family's 94-position model. Rfam says of the family: This family represents the bacterial glycine riboswitch. Glycine riboswitches usually consist of two metabolite-binding aptamers domains with similar structures in tandem. The aptamers cooperatively bind glycine to regulate the expression of downstream genes. Lineage: Bacteria; Bacillati; Bacillota; Bacilli; Caryophanales; Bacillaceae. The record is from RNAcentral.
ACGCGUCUCUGGAGAGAGCCUUUUCAAGGCCACCCAAGGGGAAUACUUCGUGAUUGAAGUUAAACUCUCAGGUAACAGGACAGAGGAAG